AGUAAUAGAUAUAGGCUUGAAACUUAAAGAAUUUGGCGGUAUUUUAAUCUUUUCAGAGGAACCUGUUCUAUAAUCGAUAUUCCACGUUAAAUUUUACUAAAUUAUUUAUAUAUCGUUGUCGAAAGAAUAAAUUUUCUAAUAUUUUAAGGAAAAUAGAUGUCAAAUCAAGGUGUAGUUGAUGAUUUAGUAGAAAUGGGUUACAAUAAAUUUAUUUAGAAAAUUUUAGAAGGAGGAUUUGAAAGUAAAUUAAUUUUAAUAAAUUUAAU
RNAcentral lists this ribosomal RNA (266 nucleotides) under Ceratophyllus rusticus. RNAcentral's name for it is "partial 12S ribosomal RNA". The record is from RNAcentral. Lineage: Eukaryota; Metazoa; Arthropoda; Insecta; Siphonaptera; Ceratophyllidae.